RNAcentral lists this ribosomal RNA (138 nucleotides) under uncultured bacterium. Its description in RNAcentral is "partial 16S ribosomal RNA". It matches the Rfam family "Bacterial small subunit ribosomal RNA", at positions 355 to 509 of the family's 1533-position model. The record is from RNAcentral.
UGGGGAAUAUUGCACAAUGGGGGAAACCCGUGAUGCAGCGACGCCGCGUGAGCGAUGAAGUAUUUCGGUAUGUAAAGCUCUAUCAGCAGGGAAGAAAAUGACGGUACCUGACUAAGAAGCCCCGGCUAACUACGUGCC